Molecule: unclassified non-coding RNA, 498 nt
Filed under: uncultured Glomus
Lineage: Eukaryota; Fungi; Glomeromycota; Glomeromycetes; Glomerales; Glomeraceae
Description: SSU rRNA
Rfam family: Eukaryotic small subunit ribosomal RNA
Source: RNAcentral
AGCAGCCGCGGUAAUUCCAGCUCCAAUAGCGUAUAUUAAAGUUGUUGCAGUUAAAAAAGCUCGUAGUUGAAUUUCGGGAUCAAUAUGUUGGUCGUGCCUCGGUACGUACUAGCUUAUUGGUUUCUCCUUUCUGAAGAACUAUGAUGUCAUUUAUUUGGUGUCGUGGGGAAUCAGGACUGUUACUUUGAAAAAAUUAGAGUGUUUAAAGCAGGCUCACGCUUGAAUACAUUAGCAUGGAAUAAUGAAAUAGGACGUUUGAUUCUAUUUUGUUGGUUUCUAGGAUCGACGUAAUGAUUAAUAGGGAUAGUUGGGGGCAUUAGUAUUCAAUUGUCAGAGGUGAAAUUCUUGGAUUUAUUGAAGACUAACUACUGCGAAAGCAUUUGCCAAGGAUGUUUUCAUUAAUCAAGAACGAAAGUUAGGGGAUCGAAGACGAUCAGAUACCGUCGUAGUCUUAACCAUAAACUAUGCCGACUAGGGAUCGGAGAUGUUAAUUUUUUU